AGCAGUCGCCGCGGUAAUACGUAGGGUGCGAGCGUUAAUCGGAUUUACUGGGCGUAAAGCGUGCGCAGGCGGCCCGUUAAGACAGGUGUGAAAUCCCUGGGCUCAACCUAGGAAUUGCGCUUGUGACUGGCGGGCUCGAGUACGGUAGAGGGGGGUGGAAUUCCUGGUGUAGCAGUGAAAUGCGUAGAGAUCAGGAGGAACACCGAUGGCGAAGGCAGCCCCCUGGGCCUGUACUGACGCUCAUGCACGAAAGCGUGGGGAGCAAACAGGAUUAGAGACCCGCGUAGUCCCUGUCUCUUAUAC
This 303-nucleotide ribosomal RNA is filed under the name uncultured bacterium. Its description in RNAcentral is "partial 16S ribosomal RNA". It matches the Rfam family "Bacterial small subunit ribosomal RNA", at positions 507 to 807 of the family's 1533-position model. The record is from RNAcentral.